RNAcentral lists this ribosomal RNA (465 nucleotides) under uncultured bacterium. RNAcentral describes it as "partial 16S ribosomal RNA". It matches the Rfam family "Bacterial small subunit ribosomal RNA", at positions 338 to 795 of the family's 1533-position model. The record is from RNAcentral.
CCUACGGGUGGCAGCAGUGGGGAAUAUUGCGCAAUGGGCGAAAGCCUGACGCAGCGACGCCGCGUGAGGGAUGAAGGUCUUCGGAUCGUAAACCUCUGUCAGCAGGGAAGAACGGUCACUGUGCUAAUCAGCAGUGAAUUGACGGUACCUGCAAAGGAAGCACCGGCUAACUCCGUGCCAGCAGCCGCGGUAAUACGGAGGGUGCGAGCGUUAAUCGGAAUUAUUGGGCGUAAAGCGCUCGUAGGCGGUAUGUCAAGUCAAGGGUGAAAUCCCCGCGCUCAACGUGGGAACUGCCUUUGAGACUGGCAAGCUGGAGUGUGUGAGAGGAUAGUGGAAUUCCAGGUGUAGGAGUGAAAUCCGUAGAUAUCUGGAGGAACAUCAGUGGCGAAGGCGACUAUCUGGCACAUAACUGACGCUGAGGAGCGAAAGCGUGGGUAGCAAACAGGAUUAGAUACCCCGGUAGUC